RNAcentral lists this ribosomal RNA (492 nucleotides) under uncultured bacterium. RNAcentral's name for it is "partial 16S ribosomal RNA". It matches the Rfam family "Bacterial small subunit ribosomal RNA", at positions 29 to 507 of the family's 1533-position model. The record is from RNAcentral.
AGCGAACGCUGGCGGUAUGCUUAACACAUGCAAGUCGAACGGCAACACAGUAAUUGCUUGCUCUUACGGGUGGCGAGUGGCGGAUGGGUGGGGAAUACAUCGGAAUCUACUUUUUCGUGGGGGAUAACGUAGGGAAACUUACGCUAAUACCGCAUACGACCUACGGGUGUAAUCAGGGGAUCUUCUGACCUUGCGCGAUUGAAUGAGCCGAGGUCGGAUUAGCUAGUUGGCGGGGUAAACGCCCACCAAGGCGACGAUCCGUAGCUGGUCUGAGAGGAUGAUCAGCCAGACUGGGAGUGAGACCAGGUCCAGACUCCUACGGGAGCCAGCAGUGGGGGAUAUUGAGCAAUGGGCGCUAGCGUGAUCCAGCCGUACCGCGUGGGUGGCGAAGGCCUUCGGGUUGUAACGCCCUUUUGUUGGGAAAGAAAAGCAGCAGGUUAAUACGCCGCUGUUCUGACGGUAGCCGAAGAAGAAGCACCGGCUAACUUCGUG